This 213-nucleotide ribosomal RNA is filed under the name Paenibacillus polymyxa. RNAcentral's name for it is "partial 23S ribosomal RNA". It matches the Rfam family "Bacterial large subunit ribosomal RNA", at positions 2094 to 2306 of the family's 2925-position model. Lineage: Bacteria; Bacillati; Bacillota; Bacilli; Caryophanales; Paenibacillaceae. The record is from RNAcentral.
UGGAGCUUUACUGCAGCUUGAUAUUGAAUUUGGGUACGAUCUGUACAGGAUAGGUGGGAGCCGUAGAACUUUGAGCGCCAGCUUGAAGGGAGGCAUCCUUGGGAUACCACCCUGAUCGUAUCUAGGUUCUAACUUGGUACCGUGAUCCGGUACGAGGACAGUGUCAGGUGGGCAGUUUGACUGGGGCGGUCGCCUCCUAAAGAGUAACGGAGG